GGGGAGAUGCCGGAGUAGUCAAACGGACCAGACUGUAAAUCUGGCGGCUUUUAGCCUACGAAGGUGCGAAUCCUUCUCUCCCCACCA
Molecule: transfer RNA, 87 nt
Filed under: Candidatus Omnitrophota bacterium
Lineage: Bacteria; Pseudomonadati; Candidatus Omnitrophota
Also listed under: 1 other name
Description: tRNA-Tyr
Rfam family: tRNA
About the family: Transfer RNA (tRNA) molecules are approximately 80 nucleotides in length. Their secondary structure includes four short double-helical elements and three loops (D, anti-codon, and T loops).
Source: RNAcentral